This 664-nucleotide unclassified non-coding RNA is filed under the name uncultured Prochlorococcus sp. Its description in RNAcentral is "partial may contain 16S ribosomal RNA, 16S-23S ribosomal RNA intergenic spacer, and 23S ribosomal RNA". The stretch from base 1 to 97 matches the Rfam family "Bacterial small subunit ribosomal RNA", at positions 1437 to 1533 of the family's 1533-position model. Lineage: Bacteria; Bacillati; Cyanobacteriota; Cyanophyceae; Synechococcales; Prochlorococcaceae. The record is from RNAcentral.
ACCCUUGUGGAGGAGGACGCCGAAGGUGGGGCUAAUGACUGGGGUGAAGUCGUAACAAGGUAGCCGUACCGGAAGGUGCGGCUGGAUCACCUCCUAACAGGGAGACAACAAAAUGUUUAAUAUUAUUAUUUUGUCACCUUAGGUCGAUCGGUAUCUCAUGUUCUUAAAUUAUUAAGAAUUUCAAUUCCUAAGUUUUUCUAGGUCACACCCAUUAUUUUCCUGGGCCAUUAGCUCAGGUGGUUAGAGCGCACCCCUGAUAAGGGUGAGGUCCCUGGUUCAAGUCCAGGAUGGCCCAUAUCUCUAUGUUGGGGGUAUAGCUCAGUUGGUAGAGCGCCUGCUUUGCAAGCAGGAUGUCAGCGGUUCGAGUCCGCUUACCUCCACUGAUUACCACCUCUACCAUAAUUUGUAGAAGGGAAUGUUUUGAGUUGUGAUCAAAUUCUGAACGAAUCUAGCUUCCUAAUUAAAUAAUUAAGAUGCUGGACUCAUUGAAUUUAUUUCAUUGUUUUCAGAGAACCUUGACAACUGCAUAGAUUAUUUUUAAAGACAAUGAGCAUCUUUAAUGAUGCAGAUUUAUUAUUUGUGCGAAUGCAUUAAUAACAAUUCUAUUAAGCUGAUGCUUCAAUUUUUGAAGUUAUUGGUCAAGCUACAAAGGGCUCACGGAGGA